AAUAUUGUUUUUCGCCGAAUAAAAAUGGGAAUUCUGAGAUUUUUGCGCAUCGCAAUUAUGGCUGUAACUAUCACCCUCAUUGCUGAGUUUGGGCUUCGCCUUGCGUUAUCGUAAUUUAUUUGCAUUAGACAUGAAAAGCAAACGCAUAAAAACCAGAUGGAGGAAAAAUAUUCACGAUUCUGGAGUUAAGUAGACGGAAGCGCUGAUGGUAUAUAAGAAUUCCGUAGCAGUGAAACUACAUUGUCCGCAGGAUGACAGGUCUUUCCAGAAUUUUCCUCUUCGCAAUCAUUUUCGCCAUCAUAUUGGUCAUCCGAGCGCAACGAGGAUGUCCAUCUUGUGGAAUCCUUUGUCCUGGAGGAAUUGAACAACCGGCUUAUCGAGGUGACUGUUCAUGCCGAUGCUCACCACAAUUUUGAUUUGCACAGGUUCUGAUGGAAAACUCCAUUUACUGACCGCACCGCAUUCUCAGAAAAUGGCGUUUCUCGCACGCCAGUUUAUUGAUUCAGAUUAUUUAUCAACAAUAUCUAUUGAUUGAUAUAUUAUCGAGAUAUCUAUUGAUUGAUAUAAUAUUGAAAUAUCUAUUGAUUCAAUAUUUAUUACUCCAUUAAGCUAGUCUUGGUAUUAGUUGGAAUAAAAAAAAUGUUGUUUAUAUCUUAGAAGAUCGUGUUCUAUAAAUCUGUUGUUGUUCAUAACUCAGUCGUCAGGAUGUUAUUUCAAGUACAUUAAUCGGCCGGUUUUGUCGUGAUGUAUUUGGAUUAGAUAUGAGAAGAAAAGCAGAAAAAGCGACACUCCCUACUCCGCAUGCAGAUGCAUUUGUAUAUAAAGAUAUGUUUGGAUUGUCUGAUGAUACAUUGCAUUAUGUUCUUGGAGUUCAGUCUUUUCAAAGUGUUUUUGGUUCUCGCAAUGGUCUUGCUUCUAUUUUCACUCAUUGAAGCGCAAAACUGUCCAGCAUGCGGAAAUACCUGUCCGAGAGGUCAAAAUCCGCCAGUUAGAAGAGGCGAAUGUCCACCCUGCAAUGCCGGAUGUCUAUCCUGAGGAAUUCCCUUGAUCCCUAAAACAGUAAUCAGAAAAACUUUCCGGAAAAAUCGAUACUGAGAGGAUGAUCAACUGAGGCAUUCCCGAAGCCGCCAGCUGUCGUAAUUAAAGUCAUGCACUCGGUCAUCCCAAUGGUCCCUAAAUUUUCAUGACAUUCAUUUUUAUACCCUGAUCGGCCAUUUGCUGGCUCUUAUGGGCACUCACCAUCAUCAAGCGCGCCAAUUUUGGCAUCCAAUGAGCUUCACUCGAUCAUCAUUAAAUUUCCUGUGUACAACCACUUGAAAUUCAUUGUUAAUCUCGUUAAAACGCCUGAAAAAACAUUUGAAUUUGACCCAAUUCCCCUGAUGCUCGAAUUAUGUUAAUGAGAUGUCGCGCCAAUAAUUCCGUGGAAAUAAACAUGUUAUUCCUCCCCUGA
Molecule: long non-coding RNA, 1450 nt
Organism: Fopius arisanus
Lineage: Eukaryota; Metazoa; Arthropoda; Insecta; Hymenoptera; Braconidae
Exons: 5
Source: RefSeq, a predicted model, not a curated record